RNAcentral lists this long non-coding RNA (895 nucleotides) under Homo sapiens (human). RNAcentral describes it as "HSALNT0293920". The record is from RNAcentral. Lineage: Eukaryota; Metazoa; Chordata; Mammalia; Primates; Hominidae.
CGCAAGACGGUGUUUUACAACCUUAGAUCUCCCUCCCCCAAAGUAAUAAAUAGCCAGGGUCUAGGUGAGGUGAAGUGCAAUAAGAAAAAGUAAAUAUGGAACAUGAGAUGUCUGUUUUACUCAGCCUUUGCAUGUGUCAGACUGAAAUUUCAGAAAACGUCACCAAACUUCCAAAAAGCAUCCCCAGUAAGAAAGACGGACUUGAGACCCGGUGAAGAAAACCAAUGGGAGAAUCCUGCCUCUGCUCUGAAGCCUUUCUGUUCGCUCCAGUGAAAAUUAGUCAUCCACCGGGCGCGGUGGCUCACGCCUGCAAUCCCAGCACUUUGGGAGGCCGAGAUUCUCCUCAACCAUGAUGAAUAAUGCCUGGGAGAGGGGAAGAAGUAAUGGAAGCCUGCACGGGUGGCCCCAAGGCAGGCAGUCCUUGGACUCCCUGGACUGCGGCUGUCCUUGACCUCACUGCUGGGGCAUGUAAAAGGAACGACUCAGAGUCUAACAGGCCACAGUCUGGGCUUGAUGUUCACCGAUUUUCCCUCAGCUCCGACUGUGGCUCCUCUCAGCUGACUCUGACCCUGCUCUCAGCCGGGCUGCAUCUGCCCAUCUCAGCACAUCAAUAAACAGCAGAGGGAAACUACCACCUUGGAAGGAGCCAGGCAGUUUCUGCUGGGUAGGCCGCAGCCUGGAACAUGGAAGUAGCUUCUUCCAUCCUACACUGGAAACCACCCAGCAUCCCGGGCCCUCCAGAGAAGAGCCAGACUCCCUUCCCUGGGAAGAGACUAUAGUCCUAUCUGUAUCCUCCGUGGUCAUUGCCCCUCAGUCACAGCAAUGAAGAGCAAAUUACCUGUUUUCUGUAUGUUCCUCUGACAACAACUGCCACAGAGUAAAUAUGAAAGGUUCU